This is a long non-coding RNA of Oreochromis aureus, 527 nucleotides long. The record is from Ensembl. NCBI's taxonomy places the organism in Eukaryota, Metazoa, Chordata, Actinopteri, Cichliformes, Cichlidae.
ACAAGAGAUUGCCGCGGAAGAGCCUGUUGUCCGUAUAUUUAUAUAUUUCCGAAAUCACAUUGUAGUGACGUGUACUGAACACAAUAUAUUAUAUAAUGUAAACAACUACCUGAGAAACAUCAGAUACAGCAGAUAAAUUAAUUAUAGGCCAUUACUUUUGUAUCGUUUAUUGUAUUUAUGGAGGGAGAGGUGUAUGCUGGGUAAUGGCACAGCUAGCGACCGGGUGACCCGCUUCGGAUGUUCAGUCCAUCAGGCGUUAUUAGCAGAAAUCAGUCCCAUAGAUGUGGGCCAUCUCCACCUGCUAGAUUGUUCAGAAGGUUGUUAUCAUCCAUCCAGAUGGAGGAUCACUAACAGGAGCGUGGAAGACUCCAGGAUCCACUCUGGCUGGAAUCCGGUGGAUACAGCAGUGUUACAGAACAGUUCUCCACAGUCACUGUCCACAUGGGUCAGUGGGACCAAGAAGCACUCUGCUAAUGUGGGACUCUGACCAGCAACAUCCAGCAACAUCCAGCAAGACCCAGGCAGCG